UUUGUGCAUGGCAUUUUCUCCCCCUCCCUCCUUUUUUGACAGUUAACGUCAACUGUCACCAGCUGUCAGUCGUUUUCCUUUUUUGCUCCUCCCCUCACCCUUUACCCCUGUCCUUUUUUUCACUCUACUCCUUGCAAACCUACCAUGUUUUUGGCUGUGCCCUGCCAACUGAAAGGAGGAGUCCGGCCUCCGGAACUCCCAGCAUGCCCCGUGCAAGUGCAUUCUUGUCAGGGGUCUCCUCAUGAGUCGCCAUGGCGCAUAGCCAUGCUGACUCACAAUUGCCAAAAUAGGAAUCUGCAAGCACCUAUUGAAAUUGAUGAUGACCCAAUAGAUUCAGAACAUGAUGAAGUAUAUCUUUAUACAAUUCACUACCAAACUGGGAAAUCCAUGGCUGCAGGAUGUGUUGAGGGUCACUGGACCUCAUCUGACUUUAAAAGAGGAUGAGACAAAUACAUGGAGGAGAGGUUUGACAGAGGACCCUAUUUUCCCAGGCCGCCAACUGACAUCAAUUUUAAAUUGUAAUGUGUGUUUUUAUCUAUAAUGAUUUUUAUCUUUUUAUGCAUUUUAAAUGUUUUAUAUUAUGUUAAUUCUGUACACCACCCAGAGAUAUCUAUACUAGGCGGUAUAUAAAUGCAAUUAUUAUUAUUA
Molecule: long non-coding RNA, 648 nt
Organism: Hemicordylus capensis (graceful crag lizard)
Lineage: Eukaryota; Metazoa; Chordata; Lepidosauria; Squamata; Cordylidae
Exons: 3
Source: RefSeq, a predicted model, not a curated record